This 253-nucleotide ribosomal RNA is filed under the name uncultured bacterium. Its description in RNAcentral is "partial 16S ribosomal RNA". It matches the Rfam family "Bacterial small subunit ribosomal RNA", at positions 524 to 776 of the family's 1533-position model. The record is from RNAcentral.
UACGUAGGAGGCGAGCGUUGUCCGGAUUUACUGGGCGUAAAGAGCGCGUAGGUGGUUUAGCAAGUUGGGUGUGAAAUCUCCUGGCUCAACUGGGAGGGUGCACUCGAGACUGCUAGGCUUGAGGGCAGCAGAGGGAAGUGGAAUUCCCGGUGUAGUGGUGAAAUGCGUAGAUAUCGGGAGGAACACCGGUGGCGAAGGCGGCUUUCUGGGCUGCACCUGACGCUGAGGCGCGAAAGCGUGGGGAGCGAACCGG